CCUACGGGAGGCAGCAGUGGGGAAUCUUGCGCAAUGGGCGAAAGCCUGACGCAGCGACGCCGCGUGUGGGAUGAAGGCCUUCGGGUUGUAAACCACUGUCGGGAGGGACGCGGUACCUCCAAAGGAAGCACCGGCUAACUCCGUGCCAGCAGCCGCGGUAAUACGGAGGGUGCGAGCGUUGUCCGGAAUCACUGGGCGUAAAGGGCGCGUAGGCGGCCCGGUAAGUAGGAGGUGAAAUCUUGCGGCUUAACCGCAAGGCUGCCUUCUAAACUGCCAGGCUUGAGCACAGUAGAGGCAGGUGGAAUUCCCGGUGUAGCGGUGGAAUGCGUAGAGAUCGGGAAGAACAUCGGUGGCGAAGGCGGCCUGCUGGGCUGUGCUGACGCUGAGGCGCGACAGCGUGGGGAGCAAACAGGAUUAGAUACCCUGGUAGUC
RNAcentral lists this ribosomal RNA (432 nucleotides) under uncultured bacterium. Its description in RNAcentral is "partial 16S ribosomal RNA". It matches the Rfam family "Bacterial small subunit ribosomal RNA", at positions 338 to 795 of the family's 1533-position model. The record is from RNAcentral.